RNAcentral lists this long non-coding RNA (2418 nucleotides) under Homo sapiens (human). RNAcentral describes it as "non-protein coding lnc-TMEM99-5:5". Lineage: Eukaryota; Metazoa; Chordata; Mammalia; Primates; Hominidae. The record is from RNAcentral.
GAUUCGUCACGGCGAAGAGGGCCGAGGAGGCCCGACCUAACACAGAAUAGGCCUGGGUUUAGCGGCUGUGAGGAGCCGGAGCCGCCGCAGCGACCGAGGAAGUGGCGGGAGGUGCCGAGCCUUGCGGAGGGGCGGUGGGGGCCGCGGUGGGAGACGGCGGAUGGCGCUCAGCGCGAGGCCGCGGAACCACUGUGGCAGCAAGCAGUUCGGCCAGACUCCCGCUGAGCCCGCUCCUGGAGGGGCCCUCCCCGACUCCGGUCUUGCUUUCCUUUAGGCUGUGGGUCAGAGUCUACACUUCACUAAACCUGGGAUGGAGGCGUGGAGGACUUGCUUCGCGGCGUUUGCGUCCUCGCAGGCGCCUCGCAGGGCUUCCUGCCCUCACGGCGGGGGAGUAGCUUUGGCGAAAAUCAGCACGAGUUCUGCAGUUUUUCCAAGCGCUUUUAGGGUGUAAUCGUCCCAGGUUUCUAAGCCAAGGCCCGGAGAGUUGACCCCCUCGCAACAGCUUGUGUGUCCUUGCAGCGCCGCGGGUGCCACCUGGUCUCCGCCUCAGCGCUGCCUCGGCUCCUUCGGUUCCCACCAGCGGGAACGACCGUCCCCACUUUCAGCUUAAACUCAUCUGUCCUUCUGGAUCCAGCUCAGAGGUCUCUUUGUGAUGCCCUCCUGGAACUUCCCCCCUAGUAAUCCUUCCUUUGUAUUCCCGUGGCUCUUUGAUAAUAAUGGUUGGAGUCCUGAACCCGACCCUUUGUAUCGGACCGUGUUUGUCAUCUCCAGUGCUUUAUGAAGGCCUUGAAAGCAAGGUUCAGCCGUCUGUAUUGGUCAUCUUCCCAUUGCCAGUGCCUACGAAGGGCUUGACCCAUUCAUUGUUAGACGCUCAGUAAGUGUGUAUUGAGGCAGCCCUCUGUGCCACUCCAGGGCUCUUUCCACUAAAUCAUGAGUAUGUUGGUUUACCAGAUGGAAUGAGUAGCCUCUUCUUUGGAUACAUAAACACCCGAUGGAUAUUGUGGGUCACUGUGGAGGGAGAAUGAACGUAUGGGAUCCCUGACCUGUGGUUACUGGAAAACAGUUGACAUUUAGAGAGAGGCUGAAUUCUUGGGCUUCCCGUAGCCCCCAUCCUGAGUGUGCCAACAGGGACUAGAAGCAUCUCUAGUCUGCAAAGCGAGGAACAAGUGAUACUCUGUCCAAUUUUUCCAAUAUUGUUAUACUCAUGAAUAGAGAUUAAUGAAAUUGAAGAGCAUAUUCAAGAGAAAGACUAAAGGAGAAGUCGUCUGCCCCGUGGACAGGCAGCUUGAGUGGUGCUUGAGAAAAUGUACAUGAAAUUGCUUGUUAAAAAAUAUUCACGCCUGUAAUCCCAGCUCUUUUGGGAGGCCGAGGCGGGCAGAUUACUAGGUCAGGAGAUCGAGACCAUCCUGGCUAACACGGUGAAACCCCGUCCCUACUAAAAAUACAAAAACAAAAUUAGCCGGGCGUGGCGGCGGGCGCCUGUGGUCCCAGCUAUUGGGGAGGCUGAGGCAGGAGAAUGGCGUGAACCCGGGAGGCGGAGCUUGCAGUGAACGGAGAUGGCGCCACUGCACUCCAGCCUGGGCGAGAGAGCGAGACUCUGUCUCAAAAAAAAAAAAAUUAUAUAUAUAUAUAUGUAUAUAUCCAUCAGAGACAUGUAAAGGAUUAAAGUACGAUACACAAAGGCCUCAGAAGGGAUUUCAGUACAUUCUUUUUCUGGCUUCGUCCAGCAACUCCAGCCUGGUUUCUUCCCUGCCUUUGGGAUUAUGGUGGGAGGAUUGGGCGAGUGCAGUGCUGGGGAGGCGCUGUGUGUUGUCUCUAGGCAGUCCUCUGAAGAAAAACUGCAGGUUUUGGAUGUUAAGAAUAAAGCACCCUAUAGUAGGAAAGGGGUGGCCCAAAAACGGCAAAAAGGGAAAGGAGGGGACCUAAGUGGAGCAGUGACAUUGUCUGAUACACUUUCUCACUGGGUUUCUGCUCAGAUGUCACCUUCUUAGUAGGUGUUUCCUGACCUUUUUAAAAUUGCAUCUCAUUCCCCAACCCCCGGUGUCUGUUCAUGGCCUGUGCUUUACUUUUUCUGUAGCACUUGUCGCUACCUAACAUACUAUACUUCUUAUGAAUUUAUUUUGUUUUGUCUUUUUCUUCUUCUUUUCUUUUUUUUUUUGAGACGGAGUUUCGCUCUUAUUGCCCAGGCUGGAGUGCAAUGGCGCGAUCUUGGCUCACUACGACCUCCGUCUCCCGAGUUCAAGUGAUUCUCCUGCCUCAGCCUCCCAAGUAGCUGGGAUUACGGCAUGUGCCACCACACCCUGCUAAUUUUGUAUUUUUAGUAGAGACGAGGUUUCACCAUGUUGGUCAGGCUGGUCUUGGACUCCUGACCUCAAGUGAUCCACCGCCUCGGCCUCCCAAAGUGCUGGAUUACAGGCA